This 247-nucleotide ribosomal RNA is filed under the name uncultured bacterium. Its description in RNAcentral is "partial 16S ribosomal RNA". It matches the Rfam family "Bacterial small subunit ribosomal RNA", at positions 523 to 769 of the family's 1533-position model. The record is from RNAcentral.
AUACGUAGGUGGCGAGCGUUAUCCGGAUUUAUUGGGUGUAAAGGGUGAGUAGGCGGGAAUACAAGUCAGAUGUGAAAUGCAAAGGCUUAACCUUUGAAUUGCAUUUGAAACUGUGUUUCUUGAGAGUCGGAGAGGUAAUCGGAAUUCCUAGUGUAGCGGUGAAAUGCGUAGAUAUUAGGAGGAACACCAGUGGCGAAGGCGGAUUACUGGACGAUAACUGACGCUGAGACACGAAAGCGUGGGGAGC